UUAAGCGACUAAGCGUACACGGUGGAUGCCCUGGCAGUCAGAGGCGAUGAAGGACGUGCUAAUCUGCGAUAAGCGUCGGUAAGGUGAUAUGAACCGUUAUAACCGGCGAUUUCCGAAUGGGGAAACCCAGUGUGAUUCGUCACACUAUCAUUAACUGAAUCCAUAGGUUAAUGAGGCGAACCGGGGGAACUGAAACAUCUAAGUACCCCGAGGAAAAGAAAUCAACCGAGAUUCCCCCAGUAGCGGCGAGCGAACGGGGAGCAGCCCAGAGCCUGAAUCAGUGUGUGUGUUAGUGGAAGCGUCUGGAAAGGCGCGCGAUACAGGGUGACAGCCCCGUACACAAAAAUGCACAUGCUGUGAGCUCGAUGAGUAGGGCGGGACACGUGGUAUCCUGUCUGAAUAUGGGGGGACCAUCCUCCAAGGCUAAAUACUCCUGACUGACCGAUAGUGAACCAGUACCGUGAGGGAAAGGCGAAAAGAACCCCGGCGAGGGGAGUGAAAAAGAACCUGAAACCGUGUACGUACAAGCAGUGGGAGCACGCUUAGGCGUGUGACUGCGUACCUUUUGUAUAAUGGGUCAGCGACUUAUAUUCUGUAGCAAGGUUAACCGAAUAGGGGAGCCGAAGGGAAACCGAGUCUUAACUGGGCGUUAAGUUGCAGGGUAUAGACCCGAAACCCGGUGAUCUAGCCAUGGGCAGGUUGAAGGUUGGGUAACACUAACUGGAGGACCGAACCGACUAAUGUUGAAAAAUUAGCGGAUGACUUGUGGCUGGGGGUGAAAGGCCAAUCAAACCGGGAGAUAGCUGGUUCUCCCCGAAAGCUAUUUAGGUAGCGCCUCGUGAAUUCAUCUCCGGGGGUAGAGCACUGUUUCGGCAAGGGGGUCAUCCCGACUUACCAACCCGAUGCAAACUGCGAAUACCGGAGAAUGUUAUCACGGGAGACACACGGCGGGUGCUAACGUCCGUCGUGAAGAGGGAAACAACCCAGACCGCCAGCUAAGGUCCCAAAGUCAUGGUUAAGUGGGAAACGAUGUGGGAAGGCCCAGACAGCCAGGAUGUUGGCUUAGAAGCAGCCAUCAUUUAAAGAAAGCGUAAUAGCUCACUGGUCGAGUCGGCCUGCGCGGAAGAUGUAACGGGGCUAAACCAUGCACCGAAGCUGCGGCAGCGACGCUUAUGCGUUGUUGGGUAGGGGAGCGUUCUGUAAGCCUGUGAAGGUGUACUGUGAGGUAUGCUGGAGGUAUCAGAAGUGCGAAUGCUGACAUAAGUAACGAUAAAGCGGGUGAAAAGCCCGCUCGCCGGAAGACCAAGGGUUCCUGUCCAACGUUAAUCGGGGCAGGGUGAGUCGACCCCUAAGGCGAGGCCGAAAGGCGUAGUCGAUGGGAAACAGGUUAAUAUUCCUGUACUUGGUGUUACUGCGAAGGGGGGACGGAGAAGGCUAUGUUGGCCGGGCGACGGUUGUCCCGGUUUAAGCGUGUAGGCUGGUUUUCCAGGCAAAUCCGGAAAAUCAAGGCUGAGGCGUGAUGACGAGGCACUACGGUGCUGAAGCAACAAAUGCCCUGCUUCCAGGAAAAGCCUCUAAGCAUCAGGUAACAUCAAAUCGUACCCCAAACCGACACAGGUGGUCAGGUAGAGAAUACCAAGGCGCUUGAGAGAACUCGGGUGAAGGAACUAGGCAAAAUGGUGCCGUAACUUCGGGAGAAGGCACGCUGAUAUGUAGGUGAAGUCCCUCGCGGAUGGAGCUGAAAUCAGUCGAAGAUACCAGCUGGCUGCAACUGUUUAUUAAAAACACAGCACUGUGCAAACACGAAAGUGGACGUAUACGGUGUGACGCCUGCCCGGUGCCGGAAGGUUAAUUGAUGGGGUUAGCGCAAGCGAAGCUCUUGAUCGAAGCCCCGGUAAACGGCGGCCGUAACUAUAACGGUCCUAAGGUAGCGAAAUUCCUUGUCGGGUAAGUUCCGACCUGCACGAAUGGCGUAAUGAUGGCCAGGCUGUCUCCACCCGAGACUCAGUGAAAUUGAACUCGCUGUGAAGAUGCAGUGUACCCGCGGCAAGACGGAAAGACCCCGUGAACCUUUACUAUAGCUUGACACUGAACAUUGAGCCUUGAUGUGUAGGAUAGGUGGGAGGCUUUGAAGUGUGGACGCCAGUCUGCAUGGAGCCGACCUUGAAAUACCACCCUUUAAUGUUUGAUGUUCUAACGUUGACCCGUAAUCCGGGUUGCGGACAGUGUCUGGUGGGUAGUUUGACUGGGGCGGUCUCCUCCUAAAGAGUAACGGAGGAGCACGAAGGUUGGCUAAUCCUGGUCGGACAUCAGGAGGUUAGUGCAAUGGCAUAAGCCAGCUUGACUGCGAGCGUGACGGCGCGAGCAGGUGCGAAAGCAGGUCAUAGUGAUCCGGUGGUUCUGAAUGGAAGGGCCAUCGCUCAACGGAUAAAAGGUACUCCGGGGAUAACAGGCUGAUACCGCCCAAGAGUUCAUAUCGACGGCGGUGUUUGGCACCUCGAUGUCGGCUCAUCACAUCCUGGGGCUGAAGUAGGUCCCAAGGGUAUGGCUGUUCGCCAUUUAAAGUGGUACGCGAGCUGGGUUUAGAACGUCGUGAGACAGUUCGGUCCCUAUCUGCCGUGGGCGCUGGAGAACUGAGGGGGGCUGCUCCUAGUACGAGAGGACCGGAGUGGACGCAUCACUGGUGUUCGGGUUGUCAUGCCAAUGGCACUGCCCGGUAGCUAAAUGCGGAAGAGAUAAGUGCUGAAAGCAUCUAAGCACGAAACUUGCCCCGAGAUGAGUUCUCCCUGACUCCUUGAGAGUCCUGAAGGAACGUUGAAGACGACGACGUUGAUAGGCCGGGUGUGUAAGCGCAGCGAUGCGUUGAGCUAACCGGUACUAAUGAACCGUGAGGCUUAACCUU
This 2902-nucleotide ribosomal RNA is filed under the name Escherichia coli. RNAcentral's name for it is "bacterial LSU rRNA". It matches the Rfam family "Bacterial large subunit ribosomal RNA". Lineage: Bacteria; Pseudomonadati; Pseudomonadota; Gammaproteobacteria; Enterobacterales; Enterobacteriaceae. The record is from RNAcentral. RNAcentral also lists the same sequence under 3 other names.